UACAGAGACUGCAAGCGUUAUUCGGAUUCACUGGGCGUAAAGGGUGCGCAGGCGGUUGUGUGUGUCAGGUGUGAAAGCCCGGGGCUUAACCCCGGAAUUGCGCCUGAAACUACAUGACUAGAGCAUUGGAGAAGGGUAGCGGAAUUCACGGUGUAGCAGUGAAAUGCGUAGAUAUCGUGAGGAACACCAGAGGCGAAGGCGGCUACCUGGACAAUUGCUGACGCUCAGGCACGAAAGCGUGGGGAGCAAAAGGG
This 254-nucleotide ribosomal RNA is filed under the name uncultured bacterium. RNAcentral describes it as "partial 16S ribosomal RNA". It matches the Rfam family "Bacterial small subunit ribosomal RNA", at positions 524 to 776 of the family's 1533-position model. The record is from RNAcentral.